UACGUAGGUGGCAAGCGUUGUCCGGAUUUACUGGGCGUAAAGAGCGCGCAGGCGGCCAAGUCAGUCGAAUGUGAAAGCCCCCGGCUCAACUGGGGAGGGUCAUUCGAUACUGCUCGGCUCGAAGACAGGAGAGGGAAGUGGAAUUCCCGGUGUAGUGGUGAAAUGCGUAGAUAUCGGGAGGAACCCCAGUGGCGAAGGCGACUUUCUGGCCUGUUCUUGACGCUGAGGCGCGAAAGCUAGGGGAGCAAACGGG
Molecule: ribosomal RNA, 253 nt
Filed under: uncultured bacterium
Lineage: Bacteria
Description: partial 16S ribosomal RNA
Rfam family: Bacterial small subunit ribosomal RNA
Source: RNAcentral